This 464-nucleotide ribosomal RNA is filed under the name Vreelandella stevensii. Its description in RNAcentral is "partial 16S ribosomal RNA". It matches the Rfam family "Bacterial small subunit ribosomal RNA", at positions 338 to 795 of the family's 1533-position model. Lineage: Bacteria; Pseudomonadati; Pseudomonadota; Gammaproteobacteria; Oceanospirillales; Halomonadaceae. The record is from RNAcentral.
CCUACGGUGGGCUGCAGUGGGGAAUAUUGGACAAUGGGCGAAAGCCUGAUCCAGCCAUGCCGCGUGUGUGAAGAAGGCCUUCGGGUUGUAAAGCACUUUCAGUGGGGAAGAAAGCCUUGGGGCUAAUACCCUCGAGGAAGGACAUCACCCACAGAAGAAGCACCGGCUAACUCCGUGCCAGCAGCCGCGGUAAUACGGAGGGUGCGAGCGUUAAUCGGAAUUACUGGGCGUAAAGCGCGCGUAGGCGGUCUGAUAAGCCGGUUGUGAAAGCCCCGGGCUCAACCUGGGAACGGCAUCCGGAACUGUCAGGCUAGAGUGCAGGAGAGGAAGGUAGAAUUCCCGGUGUAGCGGUGAAAUGCGUAGAGAUCGGGAGGAAUACCAGUGGCGAAGGCGGCCUUCUGGACUGACACUGACGCUGAGGUGCGAAAGCGUGGGUAGCAAACAGGAUUAGUACCCUUGUAGUC